This 1460-nucleotide ribosomal RNA is filed under the name uncultured Bordetella sp. RNAcentral's name for it is "partial 16S-23S ribosomal RNA intergenic spacer". It matches the Rfam family "Bacterial small subunit ribosomal RNA". The record is from RNAcentral. Lineage: Bacteria; Pseudomonadati; Pseudomonadota; Betaproteobacteria; Burkholderiales; Alcaligenaceae.
AGUUUGAUCCUGGCUCAGAUUGAACGCUGGCGGAUGCUUUUACACAUGCAAGUCGAACGGCAGCACGGACUUCGGUCUGGUGGCGAGUGGCGAACGGGUGAGUAAUGUAUCGGAACGUGCCUAGUAGCGGGGAUAACUACGCGAAAGCGUAGCCAAUACCGCAUACGCCCUUCGGGGAAAGCGGGGGACCUUCGGGCCCUCGCAAUUGGCUUUAGAGCGGCCGAUAUCGGAUUAGCCAGUUGGUGGUAACGGCUCACCAAGGCGAUCCGUAGCUGGUUUGAGAGGACGACCAGCCACAAUUGGGAUCGAGACACGGCCCGACUCCUACGGGAGGCAGCAGUGGGGAAUUUUGGACAAUGGGGAAACCCUGAUCCAGCCAUCCCGCAUGCGAUGAAGGCCUUCGGGUUGUGGUAAAGCACUUGGCAGGAAGCACCCGCUGAUAAUACCUCGUGCAACUGACGGUACCUGCAGAAUAAGCACCGGCUAACCACGCGCCAGCAGCCGCGGUAAUAUGUAGGGUGCAAGCGUUAAUCGGAAUUACUGGGCGUAAAGCGUGCACAGGCGGUUCGGAAAGAAAGAUGUGAAACUCAGAGCUUAACUUUGGAACUGCAUUUAACUACCGAGCUGAGUGUGUCAGGAGAGGAAUUCCGCGUAGCAGUGAAAUGCGCAGAUAUGCGGAGGAACACCGAUGGCGAAGGCAGCCUCCUUGGGAUAACACUCGACGCUCAUGCACGAAAGCGUGGGGAGCAAACAGGAUUAGAUACCCUGGUAGUCCACGCCCUAAACGGAUGUCAACUAGCUGUUGGGGCCUUCGGGCCUUGGUACAGGCUAACGGGUGAAGUUGACCGCCUGGGAGUACGGUCGCAAGAUUAAAAACUCAAAGGAAUUGACGGGGACCUGCACAAGCGGUGGGAUGUGAUGUGGAUUAAUUCGAUGCAACGUGAAAACCUUACCUACCCUUGACAUGUCUGGAAUCCCGAAGAGAUUUGGGGAGUGCUCGCAAGAGAACCGGAACACAGGUGCUGCAUGGCUGUCGUCAGCUCGUGUCGUGAGAUGUUGGGUUAAGUCCUGCAACGAGCGCAACCCUGUCAUUAGUUACAUGAAAGGGCACUCAUCGAGACUGCCGGUGACAAACCGGAGGAAGGUGGGGCGACGUCAAGUCCUCAUGGCCCUUAUGGGUAGGGCUUUCACACGUCAAGGCAGCAAUAUCGACAGAGGCCGCCAAACCGCGAGGGAGCCAUCCCAGAAACCCGAUCAGUCCGAUCAGGUCUGUAACUGACUGCGGCUGAAUCAGUAAUCGCGGAUCAACACAGCCGCAGGUGAAUACGUUCCCGGGUCUGUACUACUACCGCCUGUCACACCAUGGGAGUGGGUUUACCAGAAGUAGUUAGCUCAACUGUAAGGAGGGCGAUUACUUACGGUAGGGAUUCAUGACUAAAGGUGAAGUCGUAAUAAGGUAA